This 207-nucleotide ribosomal RNA is filed under the name uncultured bacterium. RNAcentral describes it as "partial 16S ribosomal RNA". It matches the Rfam family "Bacterial small subunit ribosomal RNA", at positions 568 to 774 of the family's 1533-position model. The record is from RNAcentral.
UGCGUAGGCGGUCGGGUAAGUCUGAUGUGAAAUCUCCAAGCUCAACUUGGAAAUGGCAUCGGAUACUAUUCGGCUCGAGGAAUGGAGGGGAGACUGGAAUACUUGGUGUAGCAGUGAAAUGCGUAGAUAUCAAGUGGAACACCAGUGGCGAAGGCGAGUCUCUGGACAUUUCCUGACACUGAGGCACGAAGGCCAGGGGAGCAAACG